Molecule: ribosomal RNA, 378 nt
Filed under: Strombidiidae sp.
Lineage: Eukaryota; Ciliophora; Spirotrichea; Strombidiidae
Description: partial small subunit ribosomal RNA
Rfam family: Eukaryotic small subunit ribosomal RNA
Source: RNAcentral
AUUCCAGCUCCAAUAGCGUAUAUUAAGGUUGUUGCAGUUAAAAAGCUCGUAGUUGGAUUUCUGACAGGGGGCCGAACACCACUGUAGUGAGUGUUUUGGUACCUGUCAUCCUUCUGUUAACCCUAGCGUCAUUCAUUUGUCGUUGGGCGGACCAGAUACUUUACCUUGAGAAAAUUAGAGUGUUUCAGGCAGGCCUAGCCGGAAUACAUUAGCAUGGAAUAAUGGAAUAGGACUAUAGUCUCGUCGUUGGUUACGUGGACUGCAGUAAUGAUUAAUAGGGAUAGUUGGGGGCAUUAGUAUUUAUUAGCUAGAGGUGGAAUUCUCUAAUUUGAUAAAGUCUAACUUAUGCGAAAGCAUUUGCCAAGGAUGUUUUCAUUA